UACGAAGGGGGCUAGCGUUGCUCGGAAUCACUGGGCGUAAAGCGCACGUAGGCGGCUUCUUAAGUCAGGGGUGAAAUCCUGGAGCUCAACUCCAGAACUGCCUUUGAUACUGGGAAGCUUGAGUCCGGGAGAGGUGAGUGGAACUGCGAGUGUAGAGGUGAAAUUCGUAGAUAUUCGGAAGAACACCAGUGGCGAAGGCGGCUCACUGGUCCGGUACUGACGCUGAUGUGCGAAAGCGUGGGGAGCAAACAGG
This 253-nucleotide ribosomal RNA is filed under the name uncultured bacterium. Its description in RNAcentral is "partial 16S ribosomal RNA". It matches the Rfam family "Bacterial small subunit ribosomal RNA", at positions 524 to 776 of the family's 1533-position model. The record is from RNAcentral.